Molecule: ribosomal RNA, 254 nt
Filed under: uncultured bacterium
Lineage: Bacteria
Description: partial 16S ribosomal RNA
Rfam family: Bacterial small subunit ribosomal RNA
Source: RNAcentral
UACGUAGGGGGCGAGCGUUGUCCGGAUUUAUUGGGCGUAAAGAGCUCGUAGGCGGUUUGGUAAGUUGGAUGUGAAAUCUCCAGGCUCAACUUGGAGGGGUCAUUCGAUACUGCCAUGACUAGAGUUCGGUAGGGGAGUGUGGAAUUCCUGGUGGAGCGGUGAAAUGCGCAGAUAUCAGGAGGAACACCCGUAGCGAAGGCGGCACUCUGGGCCGGAACUGACGCUGAGGUGCGAAAGCGUGGGGAGCGAACAGG